Molecule: ribosomal RNA, 685 nt
Filed under: uncultured bacterium
Lineage: Bacteria
Description: bacterial SSU rRNA
Rfam family: Bacterial small subunit ribosomal RNA
Source: RNAcentral
GAGUUUGAUCCUGGCUCAGGACGAACGCUGGCGGCGUGCUUAACACAUGCAAGUCGAACGGAGCGCCUAUGAAGGAGAUUUCGGUCAACGGAAUAGGCUGCUUAGUGGCGGACGGGUGAGUAACGCGUGAGGAACCUGCCUUUCAGAGGGGGACAACAGUUGGAAACGACUGCUAAUACCGCAUAACACAUAGGUGUCGCAUGGCAUUUAUGUCAAAGAUUUAUCGCUGAAAGAUGGCCUCGCGUCUGAUUAGCUAGUUGGUGAGGUAACGGCCCACCAAGGCGACGAUCAGUAGCCGGACUGAGAGGUUGGCCGGCCACAUUGGGACUGAGAUACGGCCCAGACUCCUACGGGAGGCAGCAGUGGGGAAUAUUGGGCAAUGGGCGCAAGCCUGACCCAGCAACGCCGCGUGAAGGAAGAAGGCUUUCGGGUUGUAAACUUCUUUUGACAGGGAAGAGUAGAAGACGGUACCUGUCGAAUAAGCCACGGCUAACUACGUGCCAGCAGCCGCGGUAAUACGUAGGUGGCAAGCGUUGUCCGGAUUUACUGGGUGUAAAGGGCGUGUAGCCGGGUUGACAAGUCAGAUGUGAAAUCCUGCGGCUUAACCGCAGAACUGCAUUUGAAACUGUUGAUCUUGAGUACUGGAGAGGCAGACGGAAUUCCUAGUGUAGCGGUGAAAUGCGUA